UGGGGAAUAUUGCACAAUGGGGGAAACCCUGAUGCAGCGACGCCGCGUGAACGAAGAAGGUAUUCGUAUCGUAAAGUUCUGUCCUAUGGGAAGAUAAUGACAGUACCAUAGAAGAAAGCUCCGGCUAAAUACGUGCCAGCAGCCGCGGUAAUACGUAUGGAGCGAGCGUUGUCCGGAAUUAUUGGGCGUAAAUGGUACGCAGGCGGUUUAAUAAGUCGAAUGUUAAAGAUCGGGGCUCAACCCCGCAAAGCAUUGGAAACUGAUAAACUUGAGUAGUGGAGAGGAAAGUGGAAUUCCUAGUGUAGUGGUGAAAUACGUAGAUAUUAGGAGGAAUACCAGUAGCGAAGGCGACUUUCUGGACACAAACUGACGCUGAGGUACGAAAGCGUGGGGAGCAAACAGG
Molecule: ribosomal RNA, 403 nt
Filed under: bacterium
Lineage: Bacteria
Description: partial 16S ribosomal RNA
Rfam family: Bacterial small subunit ribosomal RNA
Source: RNAcentral